AAGAUACUAGUAAACAAAUAUUACCUUGUCUUGUCAAGGCAAAAUUGUAGGUUAAAAUCCUACGUAUCUUA
This 71-nucleotide transfer RNA is filed under the name Ageneiosus pardalis. RNAcentral describes it as "tRNA-Asp". It matches the Rfam family "tRNA". From Rfam's summary of the family: Transfer RNA (tRNA) molecules are approximately 80 nucleotides in length. Their secondary structure includes four short double-helical elements and three loops (D, anti-codon, and T loops). Further hydrogen bonds mediate the characteristic L-shaped molecular structure. tRNAs have two regions of fundamental functional importance: the anti-codon, which is responsible for specific mRNA codon recognition, and the 3' end, to which the tRNAs corresponding amino acid is attached (by aminoacyl-tRNA synthetases). tRNAs cope with the degeneracy of the genetic code in two manners: having more than one tRNA (with a specific anti-codon) for a particular amino acid; and 'wobble' base-pairing, i.e. permitting non-standard base-pairing at the 3rd anti-codon position. Lineage: Eukaryota; Metazoa; Chordata; Actinopteri; Siluriformes; Auchenipteridae. The record is from RNAcentral.